GCAAAAGGUAUUCUCCGGUAAUGACAUAGUGCAUUGAAAGCUGUUAUUGCUUGAGAAUACAAAUUGU
Ascaris suum (pig roundworm) is the source of this 67-nucleotide non-coding RNA. The record is from Rfam. Lineage: Eukaryota; Metazoa; Nematoda; Chromadorea; Rhabditida; Ascarididae.